CUGGUGUCAGCCGCCGCGGUAAUACCAGCACCUCGAGUGGUCAGGACGUUUAUUGGGCCUAAAGCAUCCGUAGCCGGCUUUGCAAGUCUUCGGUUAAAUCCACCUGCUCAACAGAUGGGCUGCUGGAGAUACUACAAAGCUAGGGAGUGGGAGAGGCAGACGGUAUUCAGUGGGUAGGGGUAAAAUCCUCUGAUCCAUUGAGGACCACCAGUGGCGAAGGCGGUCUGCCAGAACACGUUCGACGGUGAGGGAUGAAAGCUGGGGGAGCAAACCGGAUUAGAUACCCGGGUAGUCCCAGCUGUAAACGAUGCAAACUCGGUGAUGCAUUGGCUUAUUGCCAAUGCAGUGCCGCAGGGAAGCCGUUAAGUUUGCCGCCUGGGAAGUACGGACGCAAGUCUGAAACUUAAAG
Molecule: ribosomal RNA, 409 nt
Filed under: uncultured Nitrososphaerota archaeon
Lineage: Archaea; Thermoproteati; Nitrososphaerota
Description: bacterial SSU rRNA
Rfam family: Archaeal small subunit ribosomal RNA
Source: RNAcentral